GCAAACUUGGUCAUUUAGAGGAAGUAAAAGUCGUAACAAGGUUUCCGUAGGUGAACCUGCGGAAGGAUCAUUAAUAAAUUAAUUAUCCUAUUUAAAAAUAUGGAUAAUAAUAAUCCAUAUUCAUUCUUUGUGCAUUCAUUGAAUUAUGAGCUUUGAUAGAAAUAUAAAAGAAGAAAAGAAAUUUGUGGACUUUCUUUUUUUUGAUCUAUCAAAGGAUUUCAUUGAUCUUGAUAAUUUUUAGUAUUAAAAUUAAUUGAAGGAAAAAAAACCAAAAAAAUUUAUACAACUUUCAACAACGGAUCUCUUGGCUCUCGCAUCGAUGAAGAACGCAGC
Molecule: unclassified non-coding RNA, 333 nt
Filed under: uncultured fungus
Lineage: Eukaryota; Fungi
Description: partial contains small subunit ribosomal RNA, internal transcribed spacer 1, and 5.8S ribosomal RNA
Rfam family: Eukaryotic small subunit ribosomal RNA (bases 1-73)
Source: RNAcentral